AAUAAGGUGGCUGAGAUUAUAGGCGGUAGAUUGUAAAUCUAUUAACAAGUUAAUUACUUUCUUAUUG
RNAcentral lists this transfer RNA (67 nucleotides) under Trapezia lutea. RNAcentral describes it as "tRNA-Tyr". It matches the Rfam family "tRNA". From Rfam's summary of the family: Transfer RNA (tRNA) molecules are approximately 80 nucleotides in length. Their secondary structure includes four short double-helical elements and three loops (D, anti-codon, and T loops). The record is from RNAcentral. Lineage: Eukaryota; Metazoa; Arthropoda; Malacostraca; Decapoda; Trapeziidae.